UGUGACUAUGUGUGACGUAUGACUGAUUAUGUUAUGCACAUUCAGCUUGUAAUGCUUCAGAUCUGCUCAGCAUUUUGCCGGAGCACAUCUCCUUUUCCGGAAAUGUAGAAUAAAGAUGAUUUUUGAGCUUUGACCACACUGAGUCGGGGUUUUUCUCGGUCAGUAAAAGAAUAUAGUCAGAACCGGAUUUGAUAAUUGGUGCCGUGAACCCGGAUUCUUUUACGGCUGAGAGGACAAAUUUGGCCUAAGGUGGGAUUGUGAAAUGAGGCGAACAGAGGAUCGGUCCGAAUUUAAAGCAGGUGAAACUAUGUCAGUGGGCUCCAGAUUUGUCCAGGACGCUGGACGGCUUGAGGGCAACCACUAAAUACGAUGUGGGGAAGAUGAACAGAGAAGAAGGAGCAGAUUCCAGAACCACAGCAAAACCACGAAGGGGUUGGUGAGAAUCCAGGAAGCACCAGACCGAACGGAUCUGGCCAAGAAAGGAGGACCCAAAAGAAGCAUAGAGCAUAGAGAAUCGCCUGUCCCAGAAGAUUAGUUGUUUAGAUUGUAAAGAAGGUCAAAAGCUCGUUAGACAGAGGUUAUGGUGUGAGCACAAAGUAAUGAAGAGUAAUGGGAGGUUUAGCUUUAGUAAUAGUUUGUAUGAUUUUUAUGAUUAUGUCAAUUGCCCAAACACAGUGGUCAUGCCGGAUAUGGUCUACCCAUUAAAGGGGGACAAAGGGACAAUUAAGUGAACUGUAAGUUGUGUGCUUAGAAACCAGAAGUGCUUCUAAAGAGGAAACGGGUUAACUCUAUAGAGACUGUUUCCACAGAUUGACAAAAGUAAUCUAGGACCUUUUACUAGGAAAAGCUAAUUAUAUCUGUUUGGAUUUUACCGUGAGUAGUGAGGGAAGUCAGAAGUGGGUUUAAACUGGGAUCCUGGGUGAAAAGGGGGUGUAGGAAGUAAAGGUAGGACAGCUCACAGCCUGGCGUAGACGCGAGGUGCUGUCUUAGAGCUUGACUUAUUUGUUUGAUUUAUUUGUUGUGCAUAGAAGUAAUUAUGCCACAAUAAUAAGGGAACAUUGAAAAUACACAACCCGUUGAGGGGACGGAUGACAUGAGUGGUUGGGCAAUGGAAAGGUUUCAUUUUGUUUAGUAUGAUUUCUUUGGUUAAAUUCUUAGCUAUUAUUCUCACAUACAAGUAAACUUAAUGGGAUAAAUCAGGAAUUAUGUCAUCUUUCUUUAGGAAAGACGAAAAGGGGGAAAUGUUACGGAAUAAAUAUAUAUUCUUAGUGCUUAUUUUUUGUUUAUAUUGUUUUAUAGAGGCCAGUAUAGUAAAACGCCACUUUGAGUUAGAAUGUGUGCUAAAGGUCACAGAGUACUGUGUAAGACAGGAAACUGCAGAAGGAGACGCUUUGUGCCCGACUGCCGAGUACAGGAAGUGAAACUAGGCAGAGUGCAGCGCAGGAGUUGUUUUGAUCGAAACUAUGUGUGACUAUGUGUGACGUAUGACUGAUUAUGUUAUGCACAUUCAGCUUGUAAUGCUUCAGAUCUGCUCAGCAUUUUGCCGGAGCACAUCUCCUUUUCCGGAAAUGUAGAAUAAAGAUGGUUUUUGAGCUCUGA
Molecule: long non-coding RNA, 1599 nt
Organism: Pelmatolapia mariae (spotted tilapia)
Lineage: Eukaryota; Metazoa; Chordata; Actinopteri; Cichliformes; Cichlidae
Exons: 3
Source: RefSeq, a predicted model, not a curated record